AGUUUGAUCCUGGCUCAGAUUGAACGCUGGCGGCAGGCCUAACACAUGCAAGUCGAGCGGAUGAGAAGAGCUUGCUCUUCGAUUCAGCGGCGGACGGGUGAGUAAUGCCUAGGAAUCUGCCUGGUAGUGGGGGACAACGUUUCGAAAGGAACGCUAAUACCGCAUACGUCCUACGGGAGAAAGCAGGGGACCUUCGGGCCUUGCGCUAUCAGAUGAGCCUAGGUCGGAUUAGCUAGUUGGUGGGGUAAAGGCUCACCAAGGCGACGAUCCGUAACUGGUCUGAGAGGAUGAUCAGUCACACUGGAACUGAGACACGGUCCAGACUCCUACGGGAGGCAGCAGUGGGGAAUAUUGGACAAUGGGCGAAAGCCUGAUCCAGCCAUGCCGCGUGUGUGAAGAAGGUCUUCGGAUUGUAAAGCACUUUAAGUUGGGAGGAAGGGCAUUAACCUAAUACGUUAGUGUUUUGACGUUACCGACAGAAUAAGCACCGGCUAACUCUGUGCCAGCAGCCGCGGUAAUACAGAGGGUGCAAGCGUUAAUCGGAAUUACUGGGCGUAAAGCGCGCGUAGGUGGUUCGUUAAGUUGGAUGUGAAAUCCCCGGGCUCAACCUGGGAACUGCAUCCAAAACUGGCGAGCUAGAGUAUGGUAGAGGGUGGUGGAAUUUCCUGUGUAGCGGUGAAAUGCGUAGAUAUAGGAAGGAACACCAGUGGCGAAGGCGACCACCUGGACUGAUACUGACACUGAGGUGCGAAAGCGUGGGGGAGCAAACAGGAUUAGAUACCCUGGUAGUCC
This 792-nucleotide ribosomal RNA is filed under the name Pseudomonas syringae. RNAcentral describes it as "bacterial SSU rRNA". It matches the Rfam family "Bacterial small subunit ribosomal RNA", at positions 10 to 796 of the family's 1533-position model. The record is from RNAcentral. Lineage: Bacteria; Pseudomonadati; Pseudomonadota; Gammaproteobacteria; Pseudomonadales; Pseudomonadaceae.